Molecule: transfer-messenger RNA, 281 nt
Filed under: Klebsiella pneumoniae
Lineage: Bacteria; Pseudomonadati; Pseudomonadota; Gammaproteobacteria; Enterobacterales; Enterobacteriaceae
Rfam family: transfer-messenger RNA
About the family: Bacterial tmRNA, also known as 10Sa RNA or SsrA, is named for its dual tRNA and mRNA-like properties. Its role is to liberate the mRNA from a stalled ribosome. To accomplish this part of the tmRNA is used as a reading frame that ends in a translation stop signal.
Source: RNAcentral
GGGGCUGAUUCUGGAUUCGACGGGAUUUGCGAAACCCAAGGUGCAUGCCGAGGGGCGGUUGGCCUCGUAAAAAGCCGCAAAAAAUAGUCGCAAAGAGAGGUCAAACCCAAAAGAGAUCGCGUGGAUGCCCUGCCUGGGGUUGAAGCGUUAAAUCUAAUCAGGCUAGUUUGUUAGUGGCGUGUCUGUCCGCAGCUGGCAAGCGAAUGUAAAGACUGACUAAGCAUGUAGUGCCGAGGAUGUAGGAAUUUCGGACGCGGGUUCAACUCCCGCCAGCUCCACCA